GUGCACUUUGGCAGCACAUAUACUAAAAUUGGAAUUGGGACCAUACAGAGAAGAUUAGCAUGGUUCAUGCGCAAGGAUGACACGCAAAUCCUUGAAGCAUUCCAUAUUUUU
Small nuclear RNA from Eptesicus fuscus (big brown bat), 111 nucleotides. The record is from RefSeq and is a predicted model, not a curated record. Lineage: Eukaryota; Metazoa; Chordata; Mammalia; Chiroptera; Vespertilionidae.